AAGGGAGACCUAAUUCAGGUAGGAGACGAAAAAAAAGUAGUCGCUACCAAGAAUCAAUCCCAAAAGGUCGGAGCGAGGCGAAAUUGGCUUUCAAACUAGGUUCUGGGUUCAAACAAGACCUGAAUCAGGAACAAGGGCUAUUAGCUCAGGUGGUUAGAGCGCACCCCUGAUAAGGGUGAGGUCCCUGGUUCGAGUCCAGGAUGGCCCACCUGUACAGGUGGCAAAAACAAGAGAAGCGAGGAAUCAGCACCUUAUCUUACUGACAUAGUAAGAGAGAAUGCUGGCUCUGAGUUCAGAGUCCAGAGGAACCUUGAAAACUGCAUAGAGCUAGGUGAAAAAGCCAAAAAAGAAGACCGCAAGGUCAAGCUAAUAAGGGCUAACGGUGGAUACCUAGGCAC
Molecule: transfer RNA, 398 nt
Filed under: uncultured Microcystis sp.
Lineage: Bacteria; Bacillati; Cyanobacteriota; Cyanophyceae; Chroococcales; Microcystaceae
Description: partial contains 16S-23S ribosomal RNA intergenic spacer, and 23S ribosomal RNA
Rfam family: tRNA (bases 135-208)
Source: RNAcentral